RNAcentral lists this ribosomal RNA (253 nucleotides) under uncultured bacterium. RNAcentral's name for it is "partial 16S ribosomal RNA". It matches the Rfam family "Bacterial small subunit ribosomal RNA", at positions 524 to 776 of the family's 1533-position model. The record is from RNAcentral.
UACAGAGGGUGCGAGCGUUGUUCGGAAUUAUUGGGCGUAAAGCGCUUGUAGGCGGCUUGUUAAGUUCCGUGUGAAAUCCCUCGGCUUAACCGGGGAACUGCGUCUGAUACUGGAUGGCUUGAGUUUGGGAGAGGGAUGCGGAAUUCCAGGUGUAGCGGUGAAAUGCGUAGAUAUCUGGAGGAACACCGAUGGCGAAGGCAGGUCUCUGGGCUGACACUGACGCUCAUGCACGAAAGCGUGGGGAGCAAACAGG